This 168-nucleotide ribosomal RNA is filed under the name Bostrychus zonatus (barred gudgeon). RNAcentral describes it as "partial 12S rRNA". Lineage: Eukaryota; Metazoa; Chordata; Actinopteri; Gobiiformes; Eleotridae. The record is from RNAcentral.
CACCGCGGUUAUACGAGAGGCCCAAGUUGAUAGAUCUCGGCGUAAAGAGUGGUUAAUAAGCCUUAAAACUAAAGCCAAACAUCUUCAAAGCUGUUAUACGCACCUGAAGACAGGAAGCCCCCCAACGAAAGUGGCUUUAAACAUUAUGACCCCACGAAAGCCAGGCCA